This 253-nucleotide ribosomal RNA is filed under the name uncultured bacterium. Its description in RNAcentral is "partial 16S ribosomal RNA". It matches the Rfam family "Bacterial small subunit ribosomal RNA", at positions 524 to 776 of the family's 1533-position model. The record is from RNAcentral.
UACAGAGGGUGCGAGCGUUAAUCGGAAUUACUGGGCGUAAAGGGCGCGUAGGCGGUUAGAUAAGUGGGAUGUGAAAGCCCUGGGCUUAACCUAGGAAGCGCAUACCAAACUAUGUAACUGGAGUAUGGGAGAGGAUGGCGGAAUUUCCGGUGUAGCGGUGAAACGCGUAGAGAUCGGAAGGAACGUCGAUGGCGAAGGCAGCCAUCUGGCCCAAUACUGACGCUGAGGCGCGAAAGCGUGGGUAGCGAACAGG